UCGUAACACUUUCAACAACGGAUCUCUUGGUUCUGGCAUCGAUGAAGAACGCAGCGAAAUGCGAUAAGUAAUGUGAAUCGCAGAAUUUAGUGAACCAUCAAAUCUUUGAACGCACAUUGCGCCCGCCAGCAUUCUGGCGGGCAUGCCUGUCCGAGAGUCAUUUCCACCCUCACGC
RNAcentral lists this ribosomal RNA (175 nucleotides) under Grosmannia dryocoetidis. RNAcentral describes it as "5.8S ribosomal RNA". The stretch from base 7 to 160 matches the Rfam family "5.8S ribosomal RNA". From Rfam's summary of the family: 5.8S ribosomal RNA (5.8S rRNA) is a component of the large subunit of the eukaryotic ribosome. It is transcribed by RNA polymerase I as part of the 45S precursor that also contains 18S and 28S rRNA. The record is from RNAcentral. Lineage: Eukaryota; Fungi; Ascomycota; Sordariomycetes; Ophiostomatales; Ophiostomataceae.